GGAAAGGCGCGCGAUACAGGGUGACAGCCCCGUACACAAAAAUGCACAUGCUGUGAGCUCGAUGAGUAGGGCGGGACACGUGGUAUCCUGUCUGAAUAUGGGGGGACCAUCCUCCAAGGCUAAAUACUCCUGACUGACCGAUAGUGAACCAGUACCGUGAGGGAAAGGCGAAAAGAACCCCGGCGAGGGGAGUGAAAAAGAACCUGAAACCGUGUACGUACAAGCAGUGGGAGCACGCUUAGGCGUGUGACUGCGUACCUUUUGUAUAAUGGGUCAGCGACUUAUAUUCUGUAGCAAGGUUAACCGAAUAGGGGAGCCGAAGGGAAACCGAGUCUUAACUGGGCGUUAAGUUGCAGGGUAUAGACCCGAAACCCGGUGAUCUAGCCAUGGGCAGGUUGAAGGUUGGGUAACACUAACUGGAGGACCGAACCGACUAAUGUUGAAAAAUUAGCGGAUGACUUGUGGCUGGGGGUGAAAGGCCAAUCAAACCGGGAGAUAGCUGGUUCUCCCCGAAAGCUAUUUAGGUAGCGCCUCGUGAAUUCAUCUCCGGGGGUAGAGCACUGUUUCGGCAAGGGGGUCAUCCCGACUUACCAACCCGAUGCAAACUGCGAAUACCGGAGAAUGUUAUCACGGGAGACACACGGCGGGUGCUAACGUCCGUCGUGAAGAGGGAAACAACCCAGACCGCCAGCUAAGGUCCCAAAGUCAUGGUUAAGUGGGAAACGAUGUGGGAAGGCCCAGACAGCCAGGAUGUUGGCUUAGAAGCAGCCAUCAUUUAAAGAAAGCGUAAUAGCUCACUGGUCGAGUCGGCCUGCGCGGAAGAUGUAACGGGGCUAAACCAUGCACCGAAGCUGCGGCAGCGACGCUGAUGCGUUGUUGGGUAGGGGAGCGUUCUGUAAGCCUGCGAAGGUGUGCUGUGAGGCAUGCUGGAGGUAUCAGAAGUGCGAAUGCUGACAUAAGUAACGAUAAAGCGGGUGAAAAGCCCGCUCGCCGGAAGACCAAGGGUUCCUGUCCAACGUUAAUCGGGGCAGGGUGAGUCGACCCCUAAGGCGAGGCCGAAAGGCGUAGUCGAUGGGAAACAGGUUAAUAUUCCUGUACUUGGUGUUACUGCGAAGGGGGGACGGAGAAGGCUAUGUUGGCCGGGCGACGGUUGUCCCGGUUUAAGCGUGUAGGC
Molecule: ribosomal RNA, 1174 nt
Filed under: Escherichia coli
Lineage: Bacteria; Pseudomonadati; Pseudomonadota; Gammaproteobacteria; Enterobacterales; Enterobacteriaceae
Description: partial 23S ribosomal RNA
Rfam family: Bacterial large subunit ribosomal RNA
Source: RNAcentral